GGCACCUGGAUUCCAGAGGGAUAAGCUGGCCUCUGCCUAUGGCUCGGCUCCUAAAUGGGUUAUAACGGGGCUCCGGAGGGGAGGGGCCGGGAGUCUGGGUCUGAGCUGCCUCGCUCUGGUCCCGUUUCCCAGCCACAAACUGCACCCUGGCCCGGGCCCUACAUGCUGGGAGACUGCGAGACAGGUCAGUGCCCCUUACAUCCCCACCGUGGGCAACCCUUUCUCUGACUGCGCCCCAGAGGGAGCACGGGCCCCCACCUUUUUAAUAAUUCAGUCAGUCUCCAAACUACCUUUAGCCCUUUACAAAACCUUUUGCCCUCCAUUAUCUUCCCAAUAAUAAUAACAACAACAUUAACGCUAUUUCGGGGUAUGUGCCAGGCCCCAGGCUGGGCCACUUACAUCCUACAUCUCUCUGGGCCCUCACAGCAGCUCCUGGGGAUGGAUGCCAACAUCACCCCCAUUUGACAGAUGAGGAGGCCGAAGUUCCUGGAACCCCUCCCCAGCAGCCCCCAGCACCAGCUGUGAAGGCAGCGGCCGGGGUCUGGCCAGGCGGGUGUGUUCCGACAGACAGGGCCGCCCAGGACUGGGGCUCCCACUCCAGCAGUGGGAGAAAAGCCGUGGGAGAAGAGGAAGGUGAGGCCCUUGGGGCUCUGGGCAGCUCCCAGCGCCCCCACUCCUUGGCUCCUUUCCGUGGGUCCUUGCCCUCUGCCCAUGCCACCCGCUGGUUUGACCCCACCCUGGCCCUCAUUUCCUCUCUGGUUCCCACCAUCAGAAGCAUCUGCCGUGGGCCUGGCUGUUCGGUUUCUCCCGAGCAGACCCAGCAAGCGAUGCCUCUCUGAGGUUGUGUGCUCACUUUGCAAAACAGCAGAAAUUUAUAGCCCAAGUAAUUGAUCACGGUGCCUCCGCCUCCCUCCAUCUCUCUCUGUCUCCUAAUUCCCUUCUCCCUGCUCUCUUCUCUCUUUUUUCUCAGCGCGCCAUCUGUGGUGUCAGAGAAAAGGAAGCCAAGAAGUGGGGGGGGGGGGGGGGGGGGGGUUUAGUCCCAGUUCUGCCAAGUACGAGUCACAUGAACCUCAGUUUUCCCCUCCGCAAAGCGGAGACGUUAAUACCUGCUCACAGGUGCGCUGGGCUGGGCCCUGUGGGUGCUGGGGCUGUGAGGAGCCCCGUACAGUGUGACUUUACUCCCUAGGGCAAUCUGUGAGCUGGGGUGGCUCUCGGGCCUACCUUCCAGAUGGAGGCACUGGGCCCAGAGAGCUCAGGGCGUUCGCUCGGGCUCACAGAGGUGGUAAACAGCAGCCCUGGGCUUGAACCCUCGAUGGUGGUGCUGCAAAGCCCAAACCAUUAUGCUACACUGCCUCCCUUCCCGCCAGGGUCAAUCAGGACGGAGGUGACGGGCCAGGCCUCCCGAUCCCUAUGUCACUUCCUCCUGGGGCUCACCAUGGGGAAGAAAUGGAGGCUCUCGGGGCAAGGGGGAGUGCUUUGCCAACUGUAGAGUGCCGUGAUGAUGGGAGAAAACUUCACAGUCGUUUCCCUCCCUCGGCUAUCUGGGAGACUCUGGGCCCUAAGCACUUGCCUGGCCCUCAGAUUUCUCCUCUCCUUCCAGAGAGCCUGCGUGAACAGGGGCCUCCUACCAGCUGGGCCCCCACACCUGCUGGCCUCCUGGUACCUCCAGGGAGGUCCAUAGAACCUUCCAGAAUGACCCACAAAAGGACUCUGAAGAGUAUUUCACUCAUCCUUCAUGCCCUGCAUACCUGGCUGGAAAGCCCCCUCCGGACUCCCAGUCGAGUGCUCGCCCAGAACAGAAUUUUUGUUUCAUUCGGGGGGAGAAUUUUUCUAGGGGCCAGAGCUUGUCUUUUUCCUUCCACUCCCUUCUCUUUCCUCUUUUCAGUCUAGGUUUCUCACUGCUCCGGUAUGUCUCUCUCUCCAGCUGUCUCUCUGUCUCUGUCUCUGUCUCCCACCCUCCAGCCGCUGCGAUGACUCGCUUCCCUCCCCUGCGUGGCCGCAAGGCCAAGCCGAGCUCCCAUCGGGCUCCCUUAGCCUCCAAAGGCGCCUGUGCAGGCAGCACCUGCCUCCUGACCUUCCCACCGCAGCCCGGGGGCUGCACCUGGGGGGCAGCCGGGGCUUUGUUCCCCCCUUUCUGGAAGGACAGGACGCUCCAGCCCCUCCGGCUUCCUGCUCCCGCCUGGCUGGCGGAGUUGAGAGCCGGCUGCAGAGCUGGGAGCCAGGCAGCAGCAUACAGAACAAACAGAAUUUUUUUUUGCAACUAGAGGGGGAAGCACAGAGCUAAAAAUAAAACGAAAAGAUCAGUAUCUGUCAGUCUGACAGCUGAUUGGCUGCUCGGAGAUGCAUAUAAUUACCAGCAACUGGCGCUGGGUAGGCAAAGCCGGGAGAAACUGCUGAGACGAGCUCCAGGACACAGCUCGAUGCAGCUUGGAGGUCAUGCUGCCACUCAGAUGAGAAGCUCCGGAUCACAGGGAGCUUCUCCCACCUGAAGGCAAAGGCCCCCAGCCCUGGCUGGCUGCUCAAUCAAGCCUAGAGUUUCAGAGAGGAUGCCAGCUCUCUUCAGGCUGGGCACACCUGCCCCCCACCCCCACCCCAGCACUGCCCCCUGCCCUGCGUGUCCUGGGGACCUGGUCACCUCCAUUCCUUGCCUCCAGGAGCGUGGAGUGAAUAAUGAAGGCCAGACUCAGCGGCUUCUGGAAAGACCACCCUUCCUCCUUCUGGUUCCCUUCAAGGAAGGACCUUCAUGGCCCCCAAGUACCACAAAUCCUAGGCUGAGCCUGGGCACAGAGCGGAUUUCCCUCUCUGGGCACACACCUAUGGGGGGCGGGGGUGGGGAGCAGCAUUCCCCUCCGCUGCAGAAGGAGCUCCAUCUAUGUUGGCAACCCGAUUCGAAUCCCGGUUCCACCACCUUCAAG
This is a non-coding RNA of Equus caballus (horse), 2915 nucleotides long. The record is from RefSeq and is a predicted model, not a curated record. NCBI's taxonomy places the organism in Eukaryota, Metazoa, Chordata, Mammalia, Perissodactyla, Equidae.